CCUACGGGAGGCAGCAGUAGGGAAUUUUCGUCAAUGGGCGCAAGCCUGAACGAGCGAUGCCGCGUGAGUGAAGAAGGCCUUCGGGUCGUAAAGCUCUGUUGCGGGGGAAAAAAGGCAGCAUUAGGAGAUGGGUGCUGACUGAUGGUGCCCCGCCAGAAAGUCACGGCUAACUACGUGCCAGCAGCCGCGGUAAUACGUAGGUGGCGUGCGUUAUCCGGAAUGAUUGGGCGUACAGGGUGCGCAGGCGGGCAUGCAAGUCUGGAGUGCAACGUAUGCGCUAAACUCAUGCAUGGCUUUGGAAACUGGAGGACUUGAGAGAAGGAGAGGGAGGCGGAACUCCAAGUGUAGCGGUAAAAUGCGUAGAUAUAUGGAAGAACACCAGUGGCGAAGGCGGCCGGCUGGCCUGUUGCUGACGCUGAGGCACGAAAGCGUGGGGAGCAAAUAGGAUUAGAUACCCGAGUAGUC
This 465-nucleotide ribosomal RNA is filed under the name uncultured bacterium. Its description in RNAcentral is "partial 16S ribosomal RNA". It matches the Rfam family "Bacterial small subunit ribosomal RNA", at positions 338 to 795 of the family's 1533-position model. The record is from RNAcentral.